AUGGGCACACAGUCCCCCCUCAGAGAGCCAUCCUUAACCUCCAGCCCUGGGCAGCCCCCUCCAAAUCCCCUUCUCUUUGUCUUAGGCACUGAGUAUCCUCAGGCAGGACCGUGGGCGAACCUGUCUGGCAGCUCCAGGGCUUGGGCUGCUGACGGGGGCACACCUGGGCCCUCAGGCGGCUCUUGGUCAACAUUUGUGGAUGAACAGAACAGUUCUCAGCUCUCAGGUACCACAGCAAGGGGGACAGGACAGGGAAGGACCGUCAUGGGAGGGGAGAGCCUGAAUUUGGAACUCCAGCCCACCUGGCCAGGAAGGAGGGUGAGCGAGAAGGCUCGGCGGCUGGGCACAGGGCGCCGGGCAAGGAGGCGGCCUGGACCCUUGGCCACCAGGGGCUUCCAGAAGAAGGGGCAGGGUGGGCCGGGAGGGACCUCCUGGGGGCGGCAGGCCUCACCAGUGGCAGUCUGCGCCAGCUUCUCCUUGGUCUUGAGCGCAUGGGCGCGUUCCUCCCGCAGCCGGUCCUCAUCGCGCAGCAGGGCCACCAGCUGUUUGGCCUUCUCACGCACGUUCACACCCUGGUCCUUGCCGUCACGGUCCACGUACUGGAAGUCCUUCAGUGUCUGCACGGCGUACAUGUUCUCCUUGCACUGCUGUGACACGCGCUCCGAGCCGGUCUUGAUGAGGUACUCCAUCAGCGUCAUGGCCUUCGGGGCGGGGGGCACACCGGUCACUCACGCGGCUGCCAGGAUCCCAGCCCCAGCACCGACCCACAUGUCAUCAGCAGGCGGAUCGACAAGCGUGGCCCAUCAGCACGGCGGAUACCCCACGGCCGUGAGAAAGAACCGAGCACUGCCGCGUGCUGCCCCCUGCAGGGACAACCCUGAGGACGCGGCGCUGCAUGGAAGCAGCCAGACGGCGAAGAGCGCGCUCACAGGGCACGUCCUUGACAGGCACAUCCAGACAGGAAGGAGGGUCAUGGCUGCCAGGAGCUGGGGGAUUCCUAACAGAUAUGGGCUUUGUGUUCAGGAUGACGACAAUACUCUGGGCCUAGGCGGCGGCGAUUGGCUGCACCCCCGGGAACAUGCUCGAUGCCCCGGCACUGCACGCUUGUGA
This 1110-nucleotide long non-coding RNA is filed under the name Ailuropoda melanoleuca (giant panda). RNAcentral describes it as "lncRNA (ENSAMEG00000029666.1)". Lineage: Eukaryota; Metazoa; Chordata; Mammalia; Carnivora; Ursidae. The record is from RNAcentral.